Molecule: ribosomal RNA, 260 nt
Filed under: Toxocara cati (cat roundworm)
Lineage: Eukaryota; Metazoa; Nematoda; Chromadorea; Rhabditida; Toxocaridae
Description: partial small subunit ribosomal RNA
Rfam family: Eukaryotic small subunit ribosomal RNA
Source: RNAcentral
UAAGCCAUGCAUGUCUAAGUUCAAAUGGCCUUUAAAGGUGAAACCGCGAACGGCUCAUUAUAACAGCUAUUAUAUACUUGAUUUUGAUGUCCUACGUGGAUAACUGUGGUAAUUCUAGAGCUAAUACAUGCACCAAAGCUCCGAUUUUCUGACGAGCGCAUCUAUUAGAUUAAAACCAAUCGGGUUUCGGCCCGUAAAUUGGUGACUCUGAAUAACUGUAGCUGAUCGCAUGGUCCAGAACCGGCGACGUGUCUAUCAAG